ACAGAGGUGGGAAGUGCACAAGCAUUUGGGGAAAUGGAUAGGGCAAGAGUUCCUUGGCUCUUACUCGGAAGCAUCUUGAGGUGACUUCCCAGACUCACUUCCAGCCUUGCAAAUCCAGAAACACCCGCAGUAUGGCAGAAAUACCAAGGUCUUUUCACAUACACCCACCAAAGAGCUACAGCAGGCUGCUCCCUUAAUGCAGCGUGAACUGCUUUCCUGACUGAGACAGCCAUCUCCCUGUCCCUGGGAUCUGCGGCUGACUCAUCUGUCCUCAGAGUCAGGCACAUAUAUGAAACAGAAUUCGCAGUUCACAGUCUUCCACUAAUGUUUUGCCCCCAAAGAUUAUACAAUCACCA
This 356-nucleotide long non-coding RNA is filed under the name Rattus norvegicus (Norway rat). RNAcentral's name for it is "long non-coding RNA NONRATT011647". Lineage: Eukaryota; Metazoa; Chordata; Mammalia; Rodentia; Muridae. The record is from RNAcentral.